AGAACUAAGAAAUCAGAUGAGUCGAAUGAUGAGGUAACGCUCUGAAAGGCUCGACCUAAUCCUCCGAAUAGCGUCAACUUGUGCAAUAAAGUUGAGGUUAUGAGCUCGGUGAAGACAGUUGAACAUCACCCUAAUCGCAAGAAGGAAAAUGGGGGUAGAGGUACUCUGUGUGAUGGAUAGACUGGGGUUCUAUAA
Molecule: non-coding RNA, 195 nt
Filed under: Massilibacterium senegalense
Lineage: Bacteria; Bacillati; Bacillota; Bacilli; Caryophanales; Bacillaceae
Source: RNAcentral